AACUGCGAAUGGCUCAUUAAAUCAGUUAUCGUUUAUUUGAUAGUACCUUACUACUUGGAUAACCGUGGUAAUUCUAGAGCUAAUACAUGCUAAAAAUCCCGACUUCCGAAGGGAUGUAUUUAUUAGAUUAAAAACCAAUGCCCUCUGGGCUCACUGGUGAUUCAUGAUAACUUCUCGAAUCGCAUGGCCUUGCGCCGGCGAUGGUUCAUUCAAAUUUCUGCCCUAUCAACUUUCGACGGCUGGGUCUUGGCCAGCCGUGGUGACAACGGGUAACGGAGGGUUAGGGCUCGACCCCGGAGAAGGAGCCUGAGAAACGGCUACUACAUCCAAGGAAGGCAGCAGGCGCGCAAAUUACCCAAUCCUGAUUCAGGGAGGUAGUGACGAUACAUACUGAUACAGGGCUCUUUUGGGUCUUGUAAUUGGAAUGAGUACAAUUUAAAUCCCUUAACGAGGAACAAUUGGAGGGCAAGUCUGGUGCCAGCAGCCGCGGUAAUUCCAGCUCCAAUAGCGUAUAUUAAAGUUGUUGCAGUUAAAAAGCUCGUAGUUGAACCUUGGGCCUGGCUGGCCGGUCCGCCUCACCGCGUGCACUGGUCCGGCCGGGCCUUUCCCUCUGGGGAGCCGCAUGCCCUUCACUGGGUGUGUCGGGGAACCAGGACUUUUACUUUGAAAAAAUUAGAGUGUUCAAAGCAGGCCUAUGCUCGGAUACAUUAGCAUGGAAUAAUGGAAUAGGACGUGUGGUCUUAUUUUGUUGGUUUCUAAGACCGCCGUAAUGAUUAAUAGGGACAGUCGGGGGCAUCAGUAUUCAAUUGUCAGAGGUGAAAUUCUUGGAUUUAUUGAAGACUAACUACUGCGAAAGCAUUUGCCAAGGAUGUUUUCAUUAAUCAGGAACGAAAGUUAGGGGAUCGAAGACGAUCAGAUACCGUCGUAGUCUUAACCAUAAACUAUGCCGACUAGGGAUCGGACGAUGUUAUUCUUUGACUCGUUCGGCACCUUACACGAAAGUACAAGUUUCUGGGUUCUGGGGGGAGUAUGGUCGCAAGGCUGAAACUUAAAGAAAUUGACGGAAGGGCACCACCAGGGGUAAACUAUGCUGCAUGCUCUGCCCCUAAGAGCAGCCCCGUAGGGGGUCGGGUGGUCUGUCCUAGCUGCCAUAGCGCGGCUGUCGUUAAAUGCUAGUCGCCUCCGGGCGGCGACACCCUCAAAUUGCGGGGAAUCCCUAGGCAUCCUGCUCCUAACGGCUGCUCGAAAGAGCCGCCCGGCGCCGGCGUAAUGGCCGGCGGUACAGGGACAACGCAGGCUUGCCGCUUCAGGGUUAUCCGCAGCUAAGCCCCCUAGGCCUCGUGCUGGGGGAAAGUUCAGAGACUUGACGGGGGUGGUCCGGUUGCCGGCGGCGCAACCGGGCUAAGAGAAAGUCCAUACACGCCUGAAAAGGCCUGGGAAACUCCUGAUACAGGGAGCCUGCGGCUUAAUUUGACUCAACACGGGGAAACUCACCAGGUCCAGACACGAUGAGGAUUGACAGAUUGAGAGCUCUUUCUUGAUUUCGUGGGUGGUGGUGCAUGGCCGUUCUUAGUUGGUGGAGUGAUUUGUCAGCUUAAUUGCGAUAACGAACGAGACCUUAACCUGCUAAAUAGCCCGUAUUGCUUUGGCAGUACGCCGGCUUCUUAGAGGGACUAUCGGCUCAAGCCGAUGGAAGUUUGAGGCAAUAACAGGUUAAAAAUUCACAGGCCUGUAAAAGUGGAAGCCUCUCUCUACGAGAAUUAAUUGUCCGCUAGUCCAACGCUCUAAAUCUCCUUGGGGAAGCCCCCAACUGUCGGGAGGAGGACCGCUUGUCGGAAGACGAGCGGUGAGCGUGGGCGACACCACCUGGUACAGGGGACGCCUUAGGGGCCGAUCCUGUGGCGAGCUCGGGUAGCGCCGAGCCGUCGCAACGCGCGCAAAGGGGUGGGCUCCAACAUGGGGCUUAAGGUACGUGCUAAUCCCUCGAGCAAUCGAGCUUCCGUGAUUAGGUCCGACAGGCCGAAGCGCGGAGGGACUCUCUGGAAAACGAGAGUUGGUAGUAGUCUGAAACGCUUACUGGACCUGUUUCCAGGGAGUGCAGGCUAUAGAUGCUGUGAUGCCCUUAGAUGUUCUGGGCCGCACGCGCGUUACACUGACAGAGCCAGCGAGUUCUUCCUUGGCCGAAAGGCCCGGGUAAUCUUGUGAAACUCUGUCGUGCUGGGGAUAGAGCAUUGCAAUUAUUGCUCUUCAACGAGGAAUCCCUAGUAAGCACAAGUCAUCAACUUGUGUUGAUUACGUCCCUGCCCUUUGUACACACCGCCCGUCGCUACUACCGAUUGAAUGGCUCAGUGAGGCUUUCGGACUGGCCCAGAGAGGUGGGCAACUACCACUCAGGGCCGGAAAGUCAUCCAAACUCGGUCAUUUAGAGGAAGUAAAAGUCGUAACAAGGUCUCCGUUGGUGAACCAGCGGAGGGAUCAUUACGAGAGAGUUGCAAAACUCCCUAAAACCCUUUGUGAACCUCACCCGUUCCAUAGUUUAGUGUCUUCGGCGGGUUGCCCCAGGGGGGGCCUCGUGCCGUCAGGCGCCCGCCAGAGGACACAACCCAAACUCUUUUAUGGCGUCUGCCACUGUUAUCUGAUUAUAUAAAACAAAUAAAUUAAAACUUUCAACAACGGAUCUCUUGGUUCUGGCAUCGAUGAAGAACGUAGCGAACUACGAUAAGUAAUGUGAAUUGCAGAAUUCAGUGAAUCAUCGAAUCUUUGAACGCACAUUGCGCCCACCAGCACUCUGGUGGGCAUGCCUGUUCGAGCGUCAUUUUCCACCCUCAAGCCCUUACGGGAUUGGUGUUGGGGCUCUUCUACGGCGGGGAUCUCCCCCUGUAGGCCCUUAAAGUCAGUGGCGGGCUCGCUAGCACUCCGGGCGUAGUAGCUUUUACACGUCGCCUAGGGGGUCUGGCGGGUGACCAGCCGUAAAACCGCGACUCCGGUCGCACACCUAAGGUUGACCUCGGAUCAGGUAGGAAUACCCGCUGAACUUAAGCAUAUCAAUAAGCGGAGGAAAAGAAACCAACAGGGAUUGCCCUAGUAACGGCGAGUGAAGCGGCAACAGCUCAAAUUUGAAAUCUGGCCCUCUGGGUCCGAGUUGUAAUUUGUAGAGGAUGCUUUUGGCGCGGCGCCUUCCGAGUUCCCUGGAACGGGACGCCAUAGAGGGUGAGAGCCCCGUACGGCUGGAUGCCAAACCUUUGUAAAGCUCCUUCGACGAGUCGAGUAGUUUGGGAAUGCUGCUCAAAAUGGGAGGUAAAUUCCUUCUAAAGCUAAAUACCGGCCAGAGACCGAUAGCGCACAAGUAGAGUGAUCGAAAGAUGAAAAGCACUUUGAAAAGAGGGUUAAAUAGUACGUGAAAUUGUUGAAGGGAAGCGCCUGUGACCAGACUUGGUCCCGGCGGAUCAUCCGGCGUUCUCCGCCGGUGCACUCCGCCGGGUUCCAGGCCAGCAUCGGUUCUCCCAGGGGGAUAAAAGUCGCGGGAACGUAGCUCCUCCGGGAGUGUUAUAGCCCGUGGCAUAAUGCCCUUGGGGGGACCGAGGACCGCGCUUCGGCAAGGAUGCUGGCGUAAUGGUCACUAGCGACCCGUCUUGAAACACGGACCAAGGAGUCAAGCAUUAGGGCGAGUGUCUGGGUGUUAAACCCGCACGCGUAAUGAAAGUGAACGUAGGUGAGAGCUUCGGCGCAUCAUCGACCGAUCCUGAUGUAUUCGGAUGGAUUUGAGUAAGAGCCUUACCGCUUGGACCCGAAAGAUGGUGAACUAUGCCUGUAUAGGGUGAAGCCAGAGGAAACUCUGGUGGAGGCUCGCAGCGGUUCUGACGUGCAAAUCGAUCGUCAAAUAUGGGCAUGGGG
RNAcentral lists this small RNA (3894 nucleotides) under Ceratostomella sp. EMSL 2471. RNAcentral's name for it is "eukaryotic LSU rRNA". The stretch from base 1 to 2351 matches the Rfam family "Eukaryotic small subunit ribosomal RNA". The record is from RNAcentral. Lineage: Eukaryota; Fungi; Ascomycota; Sordariomycetes; Barbatosphaeriales; Barbatosphaeriaceae.